CCUACGGGAGGCAGCAGUGGGGAAUAUUGCACAAUGGGGGAAACCCUGAUGCAGCAACGCCGCGUGAGCGAAGAAGGCCUUCGGGUCGUAAAGCUCUGUUGUUAGGGAAGAAUAAGUACCGGAGUAACUACCGGUACCGUGACGGUACCUAACCAGAAAGCCACGGCUAACUACGUGCCAGCAGCCGCGGUAAUACGUAGGUGGCAAGCGUUGUCCGGAAUUAUUGGGCGUAAAGCGCGCGCAGGCGGUUCCUUAAGUCUGAUGUGAAAGGCUACGGCUCAACCGUAGUAAGCCUUUGAAACUGUAUGGCUUGAGUGCAGGAGAGGAGAGUGGAAUUCCCAGUGUAGCGGUGAAAUGCGUAGAUAUUGGGAGGAACACCAGUUGCGAAGGCGGCUCUCUGGACUGUAACUGACGCUGAGGCACGAAAGCGUGGGGAGCGAACAGGAUUAGAUACCCCUGUAGUC
RNAcentral lists this ribosomal RNA (464 nucleotides) under uncultured bacterium. RNAcentral describes it as "bacterial SSU rRNA". It matches the Rfam family "Bacterial small subunit ribosomal RNA", at positions 338 to 795 of the family's 1533-position model. The record is from RNAcentral.